AUGCCACCAGAUUUGAGGCUAUGCUUUGCUUAUUAUUGUGCAGUCUUCCCAACUGGCCACAACAUAGUCAAAGAUGACCUGGUUCAUCAAUGGAUUGCUCUGCACCUCAUUGAGCCAUCUGAAACAUUGUCUGCCGCACAGAUAGCAGAGGAGCAUAUUACCAGGCUUCAGAACAUGUCAUUCCUUCAAACUGCAGAGCUGGACCACGCCAGUGGAGCCAAUAAGGGUGCAAUUUUGUUGACUAUGCACGGUGUGGUGCACAACCUCGCGACAACGUUCCUAGAAAGUUCAAGCUACCAUCUAGCCACCAAUCAUCAUGGGAAACUUGAUGUGCCUUAUGGUAAGUACAUAAGAGCACUGCGCUGUGUCGGCUGUAGCAACGUGGAGUUUAAAGGUGGCUCAUUUCCACAUGAGAAGUGGCUACGUGUCCUGGAACUAACGGAGAGCUCCGUGCUGAAGCUACCGGACUACAUCUUGCAACUGAAGCACCUGGGGUAUCUUAAGAUAUCAAAAUUUACUGGACUGGUAACUCUUCCAGAGUCUGUUGGGCAUCUGAAAAAUCUGUUCCAUAUUGACUUAUCAGGAUGCUCCAGGCUUGCAGCUCUUCCGGAAUCAUUUGGAGAUCUCGUAAACUUAACCCAUGUCAAUCUGUCACGAUGCCAUGGACUGACAGAGCUUCCAGAACCACUCCAGAAGCUUGGCAAACUGGUACACCUGGAUUUAUCAUUCUGGUCUUGUUUUGAAGGUAUUGGGGAACGCCUUGGUGGCCUCACCAAUCUGGAGCAUUUGAACUUGUCGCACCCUUGCUGUCAUCUUGUUCAGCACCGUUCCGAUCUCCAGGGUCUGAAAGAUGGUCUGUGCAAGCUCACCAAACUCCGGUAUCUGAACUUGUCAGCGUGCCUGAAUCCUAUCUUUUACUACCACCAGUCACAAGAGGACAGUCUCAAAUUCCUUGGAGAGUGUGUCAGCGGUCUUUCCAGCCUAGAACAUUUGGACCUGUCUCAUCAUACAUUUCUUUUUGGUUACCUGCGAGUCUUGGUGAGCUCAGCAGGCUACACACACUGGAUCUUUCAGGCUGCAUCAGAAUCAGGAAGGUAGGUGAAACGAAGUGUCUCAAGAUUAUAAUAGAUCCGAGCAAAUGCCGGGGUCUGGAAAGUUGCCAAUUUGUGGUCCGUGUUGAUGAAGCGGCAUACAGAAGCACGAGCAACCUUGCUCAGCUUGAGGUUGUGGACUGUAAAGAGCUGGGGAUAAGCUGCCUUGAGAGGCUGCAGUGUUUGGAGGAAGCGCAGAGGAUAAGAUUAGUUCAGAAACAAAAGGUUGAAAGGUUGAAGCUUUGUUGGACAGUUGGUGAAGCUAGAGGAUCUAUGAAGGUGGAUGAAAAUGCUUUGUUAGGAGAGCUAGUGCCACCGCAUUCUCUUCGGUGCCUCGAGAUAUGUGGCUAUGGUGGGGAAACCUGCCUCCCUGCCUGGCGGAUACCAAGCGUAUCAUCUCAUCUCUGUAAUCUUACAGAGGUCACUAUGGAGGACUUCCCGAGGUGUGUGGCCCUGCCGCCGCUGGGUCUAUUUCCAAACCUCCAGCGCCUUGUUCUCAGAAGGAUGGCCAGAAUCACAACGAUUGAUGCCGGUGCACUGAGUGGAGGGAACAUAGAGGCAUUCACUCGAGUCUCUAAGUUCACUAUAGAUGAUAUGGAGAACCUGAAAGAGUUUAAGUUUGCUGCCGUUGAUGAGCUUGCGAUUCAGAAAUGCCCCUUGUUGAGCUUUGGAUCUCUACCGCCCAGAGCUCACAGGUUGCUAAUAUCAGACUCUGACCAAGUGAUGUCUUCAUCGGUCAGAGCAAUAGAUGGUGUGGAAGGCCCUUCUUCUCCGGUAACAGAACUGGUGGUCGAGACCUGCAAUUUGCCUCUAGGUGACUGGAGUUUGCUUCACCACCUCCCUGGACUCUGCAGCUUGACUAUCAAUAACUGUUACAGUCUAACCAGCUCACCGGAGAUUAUCAGCGCCCUAUCCUCUCUCCAGUCACUAUGUUUCUCUCAGUGCCAUGAGCCUAUGGAAUCACUACCAGCGUUCUUGUGUGACCUCACCUCUCUCCAGCAACUUGCGAUCGAUGAGUGCCAUGGCAUUCAAUCUUUGACGGAGGACAUGUUAGCCAAGCUCACUGGCCUCAAAGCUCUGUAUAUUUGGGACUGUCCUGAGCUGAAGAAGUGGUGUGAAACAGAGGAGAACAAACAGAAGCUUGCUCACAUCCGAAUAAAUUUUGAGAAAUUUGAUACCAGGAAGACUGGCGUGCAUCCUCCAGAAAUAUAAAAGAAGUGUCUCAGUUCUGCAUUAGUGAGCAUUAGCCACUGGAACAGUACCGCAAGACCGUCGGCAUUUCCUUAGUGGAUCCAUGAUGAACUGAUCACUGUCCUCUAGUAUGAUGGAAACUUUGCGCCAGAAAUCCAAUUUUUCAUUAGAGUACAAUUUAAUUUGUGUUCAUCUGCGGACACUUGUGUCCACAAAAGCAUGAUUUCAGACACCUUUGUUUGUUUUUUUAUCCUUGAAAGUGGCGUUGUACUUAGAAGCUGCAUAUCUGUUGUUUCAUGCUAUUCAGACAAGACAGAUUAAA
Molecule: ribosomal RNA, 2604 nt
Filed under: Triticum aestivum (bread wheat)
Lineage: Eukaryota; Viridiplantae; Streptophyta; Magnoliopsida; Poales; Poaceae
Description: partial small subunit ribosomal RNA
Source: RNAcentral